GAAUUUCCAGAGCAGAUCAAAUAGUCCAGCGCUAAACACGGUUAGAAAAGAUAUAGACCAAAGAUCUUCUAACAGUGUAAAGCUGUGCUUGGCAGAAUGAGAAAACAUAUGGGUAGUUGUGAUGCAACAAAUAAUGAUGCAAUGUAUUUAGGAGUUCCAGGACCUCUGUUCACAUAGGCAUUGACUACAUGCUGACAAUGAAAAGCCACAGAUAGGUUCUUUGAUAGAACCACUGAUAAGCUUAAGACUAAAUAGAUGUAGGAAAGGAAAUUCUUGCUUUACGAAGCAUAUAUUCUCCACAGGUGUUCUCUUAGCUGUGUCAGACCUGAUUUAAAGAAACUGCUUCUGUGACUGAAGAUCUGAGACAGUUGUCUCUGAGUUAGUUUGGAUUCCUUUCAUAAUCCAUGGAAAGGGUGGUGUUUAUAGGCUGUGAUUGUUCUGAUCUCUCUUUGAUACCUACCCCAGGAUGAGAUGAACUUAAUAAAUACUUCUCUUUCUCUCUAGGAGCUGUGAAGUCAUAGACAAGUAGCAGAGAUGGAGAAGUCCCACCAGUAGUUUUAAGUUCAGUUCCUCUCCCACCUCCCAUUAAGCAGCAAAGCUCUUCUUACUCCUGGUGUGCUGCAAGGAACUGUGUUGCCUGCUGUGGUUAUGAAUCAAAGUUCUGCUCCAAAUCAGGCCAUUUAAUACGCCUGGGAUGUGGGUACCACUGCAAUAGUCCCAAGAAACGCUCAUUUCAGUGUGGAAAAAAAUGCUGGACUUGUUGGCUGUCCCCAAUCCAGGUGAAGAGCUCUGCAGAAAUUACCUGAGGUGGGACUGAAUAUGGCACUUUUGCCAAAUUAUGAGGACUCGGCCAGGAGAUUGUGCCAUCCUGGGCGGAUGGAGGAAGGGGGAAGAGCACGAUGCCAUCCAUAGCCAUUACUUACUGGGUAAGUAACUUACUGGGUAACUUCCUCCCUUGCUUAAGGGAGGAAGCUGCACCCCAUGGGCCAAGGGGCUCUUGGCAGUGAGUUUCU
This 1013-nucleotide long non-coding RNA is filed under the name Anas platyrhynchos platyrhynchos (common mallard). RNAcentral's name for it is "lncRNA (ENSAPLG00000026670.1)". The record is from RNAcentral. Lineage: Eukaryota; Metazoa; Chordata; Aves; Anseriformes; Anatidae.